GCAGUGGUAGAAUUCUCACCUUCCAUGUGGGAGAUCUGGGUUCAAUUCCCGGCCAAUGCA
Molecule: transfer RNA, 60 nt
Organism: Loxodonta africana (African savanna elephant)
Lineage: Eukaryota; Metazoa; Chordata; Mammalia; Proboscidea; Elephantidae
Rfam family: tRNA
About the family: Transfer RNA (tRNA) molecules are approximately 80 nucleotides in length. Their secondary structure includes four short double-helical elements and three loops (D, anti-codon, and T loops).
Source: Rfam